AUUGGGGGCCCUGUGAUCCAUGCAAUAGCUGACUGUGAGCAUGCACUUAUGUGUUCUUUACCACUAAGCUUCCAGUGGCUCCAGAGUCUUUGACUUGUGAACACACCACUCUGGUUUUUAUUGCCCCUCUUCUGUCUGAGAUCUCCCUCUACCUUCCUUAAAUUUGAUUGCAUUUAGUAUUGAACAGAUAAUGUAGAAUAUAGUAUUUCUCUUAAAGUCUUUAAUUUAAAUAUACUUUUUUUUGCUACAAUACUGAUAUUCACUCUUUUGUUGCAUAUGGAAAUGUUUAUGGGUUUCGAAGCUUCAGGGACCCACGUUCAGCACACCACAAAAGGUAAAGCUUACCUUUCUCCUGUUAUAAUCCCAGGAAAAACAGUAUCCUAGUGUAAAGUUAGCCUAAAAAUGUAAUGUGUACUUUAUGUUUAUGUUGGUAACAGGGUAUAGCGAGGAUUGUGGAUGGGGGCUCUAGAAAUAGCCUGCAGAGGCUUGGACCUUCUGUUUCCAUGAUAAAACUCUAGGGAAUUGUGUCAUCCACCAGUGGGAGGCCUGCUUACUGCAGCAGGUAGAAGACUGAAUUAUGAACACAGCACAGAGUACCAUGUUCAAUGUCUGGCAUGAGAGACACCGUGAUCACCAUCAGUAUUGUCUUCAGAUCAUUGUGAGGGAAGUAGGUGCUCUCACACAACUGAGUGUGUCUCUGAAAAAGGUAAAGAACUUGAGACCAGACCAGGGAAAACCCUUGGAAACCCAUCUCACCAUUCUGCUUUUCACCAAAUCAUAAAAAAGCUGGCUGGCUAUUUCAGGAACUGAAUUGUUCUCAAACAUCACAGGUCUUAAAGACUCUUGUGCCACAUUUAUUCUUCAGAAGUUAUAAUGUGCCUGUUUGUUUCAACAAAGCUUCAUUUAAAAACACUUUAGCAUGUGCAAAAAAAAAUAUCUACUGGGACUUACAAGUGCCAAUUUUAAAGUUGUAUGGAGGACAAAGAACUAUUUGACCAAAUAAGUGUGGGCUCUGAAUGUGCCCAGAUAUUCCAUUUAAGGAUCCAGUAGAGAUAUCUAUCAACACCCAUGGCUUUGCUUGCAGUGGGAUAAGGCAGGAGUCACCAUAGGCUUCACAAAAAUCGCCACAGUAUCAUGUCAGAAUUUUGGAUUAAAGAUUACAAUGUAACUUAACACAGUAAAGAAUCUGGUAUGUGUCUCAGUUUCUUUUCUUGUUGCAGUGGUAAGGUACUCUGAACAAAGCAACUUAAGGGAGAAUGUUUAUUCUGCCUCAAAGUUCAAGAGUGUGUUCCGCUGUGGCAGGGAAGUCAAGCAGGCAGGGCCUUAAAAGAAGCUGGCCACCUCACAUUCACAAUGGGAACAGAUGGCUUUUUUUAUACAGUCCACGAUCUCAGCUGAAGAGGGAAUUUCUGGUUUCUUUGGAGACUCAGUUGUGUCAUAUGAUGUUUUUCUGGAAGCUGUCUUAUGAGAGGAUGUUUUGCUGAGAAUAGACACGUGGUGUUUCUCUGCAAGCUGCCUGGUGAAAGGGCAUGUGAUGUCUUGCUGGAGUACACACUUGAGAGGACGUUUGGAAAGAGUGGAGAAGCACACCAAAGAACAUCUGGUGGGGUUCCAGCUGCUUCUUGCUGCUUCAGCAGACUUGUGAGGGAGCCUCACAGUUUCUUCUGGAUUGAGCCACUGAUGCUGAUUCGAGUAAACCAGAUUGCUGACAACAGAGAUUGGAAUCACCAAAAGAACUAUUUCUAAACAGAAUAGUGGAAGGACAGAAAAAUGGGCAGGAGACACAGAUACACAGAUGAGUGACAGACAACAGGUAGGUAAUAAAUAAAUCGAUGAUAGAUGAUAAAUAACAGAUGAUAGGUAAUAGGUAUAUAUGUAAUAGGGAGAUGAUAGACAUCCUACCAUUACAUACAUCAAAAUGGAACUUAUUAAUAAUACCUCUUUGUCCUAGAACCAACUCAUCUUAAUGGCAGGUUUUAAAUCACAGAUGCUUCUGCUCUGACAUCCUUCAGUUUUGCACCCAAAAGGAAUAUAUCUGAGUUCAUAUCAUGUGUGUUCUUUUGUGACUGGGUUACUUCACUCAAGAUGAUAUCCUCCAUCCAU
Mus musculus (house mouse) is the source of this 2103-nucleotide long non-coding RNA. RefSeq annotates it as predicted gene, 41879. NCBI's taxonomy places the organism in Eukaryota, Metazoa, Chordata, Mammalia, Rodentia, Muridae. The transcript has 3 exons. The record is from RefSeq and is a predicted model, not a curated record.